GGUCCCUCUGGUUGUGCUGUGUGGGACGCCACCUCAGCGUGGCUUGAUGAGCGGUGCCAUGUCCACACCCAGGAUCCGAACUGGUGAAACACUGGGCCGUGGAGGCGGAGCACGUGAACUCACCCACUAGGCCACGGGCCUGCCCCUGGGAUUUUCGUUUAAAAUCAACAAAUAAAUCUUAAAGAGGGGCCGGCCUGGCCGAGUGGUUAAGUUUGCGUGCUCCGCUUCGGUGGCUCAGGGUUUCACCCAUUAGGAUCCUGGGCGCGCCAGGUCGGAUCCUUUUGAAGCGGUGGCAUCUGCAGCCCUUUGUUAAAGGCUCUACUUCCCAUCAGGCAGGGCAGCCUCUGUCUGCCUUCCACGGGUGCCGACAGGAAGCCUAGGCCUGUGGUUUUCCAGGAAGAAGGCAUAGGAGCUGAGCCCAAACUUUGCCUUCCUUAAAACUGCAAAGCUGGUGGUAGAAAUGUACAUGAGCCGCUGGGGUGGGAAGGCAUGUGAAUGUUUGCAAUGUAAGUGUUUAAUGAGAGAAGACGCAGGAAAACGGGGGGACGCCUUACCUUUGGUUGAGUGGGAAAGAAAUGAGAGAAAGGGGCCCAUUUACUGGGGGGAGAGGUCAAAGGUGUCUGCUUCCGGGUUGCCAAUGGGCCUGUUAGGUUUGUUGAUGACGAUAAACCUGAUAGAACUGGGUUUUUUCUUUCUUUCUUUUUUUUUUUUAAAAAAAAGCUUUGGUUAAGAGAGCCAUAACCUAGAGGGCUCUUUUAUUUUUCUUAAAUGGGGAAAUUACUUCGACCUAGAAGAGCUUUUUUUUAAAAACUUCACUCUAUAUUUAUUAUCAUUAGUAUUGAUAUAAUUUUGAAACUUUUAUGCAUAUAGAAUAAAGCAUGAAUUACUCCCUUGGGGAGGAGAUUGUUACAAAUGAAGAUUCCUAGGCCAGACUGGUUACAGAUGGGCCUCAGAGCAAACGUGUGGAAUGAUGGAUAUAAGGCUGAAUUUCUUAACUGUCGAAAAAGUAAGAAAGAACUUGAAAUUAGUAUGAGAAAUAAAACAGAUGACGGAAACUUUUUCGUGAAACAGUGCAACUACAAUAUGCGAAAAAGUAGACAGGUAAAGCACACACACUUGGGAAGUGGAAACAUCUCGAAGUACCGUAGAUGUGAGAAAUAGAAAGAUGACACUGCAGAGCCAUAGUCAGCUGAGCAUGGACGUUGAGAUACUUGUCCGGUAAUUAUCAGGGCCUUGAAGUAUAUGAAGUCCAUUUUUGCACCCCCACCCUCUUCUCUCCCUCUCAGUUUUCCACCCUGCAUUUUCACAGUCUGGGCGGCCCAGGAAAUGCCCUGUUGUCUCGGCUUUCCCUUGGCUCCACAAUUCACAUUUGCCUGCUAUCCCCACUUGAUCAGAUACACCAGCCGCUGGGAGAGGCUCAGGGGGUUUCUCUCCCGGGCAACUUCUUUUUCACAGUGAGUGCCCUGACAUCCAGAUGUCUCAACCGAAAGGACUGAGUUCAUAGUGAGAACCUCAGGUAUUCCACAGAGCCCAGAGGAGGAGGUAGCCAGGGGCAGGUGGAUGGUCUGUUCAGAUGUGCUCGUAGCAGCAGCCGAAGUGAGGAGAGUGUAAUUCACAAGAACGUCACUUCCCGUUUUUGGAGCUCAUCAGUGGGCAGGCACUGUGCAUUUUACUCAUUGUCUGAUUUAAUACACAGAACGAGCCUUUCGGCUAAGUUUUACGGAUAAACUGAGGAGGACAGUAUGUAAAUUAACGGGCACAGCUAUGUUCCAAUAAAACUUUACAAAACUGGCAAAGAGCUGGACAUUGUGGCCCCUCUAGGUCCACCCACAGAGGCUCUGGCUUAUCCAGCAGCUGCCUUGAAGGGCUGGACAGCUAAGCCCUAAAUGCAGGGAGGUUAACACCUAGUGGGACAGGCAAAAAGGCCAAUGAGAGAGCAGAAGCAGGAAGGUGCUGGCAGAUAAAUUGCUCAUACUUCCCUCCUCCCCCAAUGGAUGUUUCCGACAAGUGGUUUCAUACAGCCCUGAGCAACCAGCUGUGUUUCUUGGAAAUCUGUGGCCAGUUCAUAAAGCCCCUGCUUUCUAAGGAACCCAGGCUAAGACAUCUGC
RNAcentral lists this long non-coding RNA (2108 nucleotides) under Equus asinus (donkey). RNAcentral's name for it is "lncRNA (ENSEASG00005037388.1, ENSEASG00020033762.1)". Lineage: Eukaryota; Metazoa; Chordata; Mammalia; Perissodactyla; Equidae. The record is from RNAcentral.